Drosophila mojavensis is the source of this 1077-nucleotide long non-coding RNA. RefSeq lists it as uncharacterized. The record is from RefSeq and is a predicted model, not a curated record. The transcript is spliced from 2 exons. Lineage: Eukaryota; Metazoa; Arthropoda; Insecta; Diptera; Drosophilidae.
UCUGCAGCAAUCUUAGUCAGUUGCUCGAUAGAAGGGCUAAGUACUAUUCCUCGCUCUCUUUGGCCUGUCCUUCGCUCGGCAAGAUCUUAAGUCUAAAUAACUGAUCCUGAGAGGUUGCUCUGCCUUUUACAUCAUCUGCAGCCCGAUGUCGGGACAAGCUAGGAGUAAAUGGUAUCAAUGGUAUGCAAUGCUAUAGUGCUCGUCGGAUUUUUUGGUCCUACUACAAGGAAGAUAAAACUGGCAAAAGCUUUAUAUUUACCGGCUGCUCGAGUAGUACUAAUCUUUUCGCCACUCAAGAAGAGUGCGAAAGAGCGUGCGCUUAAACAGUUGGAAAAAUAUAAAUAUUGUGAUAUGAAUAAAUGAAACUGUGGCGUGGCAUUUGUAUCUUUCGUGUGUAGCCUCUUAAAAGGAGUGAACAAUGUUGAGCUGCCUUAAUGACUGACAAGCUGACAGUAUUUAGGCAGCGCCUUUAUCUUUGAUCUCCCGUCACUGUUUAAUUGAACAGCCUCUUAAAGAGUUGGAGCAUUGAUCAGAUUUGCGCAGAUAUAUAUCUGUAUGUCUGUAUGUAUCUGUGUCCAUAUGAAGCGUGGGAUAGUUUUAAGCCUUGCAAUUCCUCACUGCCAAAUAGUGUCUCCAAUUCAAUUCGAUUCUGUUUUGCUUUGCCUAUGUGCAGAAUCAGCUAUGGGUUCGACUUGAUUUAUACACAAACUAGUACAGACAAACAUAGAUUAGUAUAUAUAGUUAGUUGUUGCUCGAUAGAAGGGCUAAGUACUAUCAAAAAUGAGGUUCGCAGCUGCUCUUUUCCUAUUUCUCGCUCUCCUUUGCCUGUCCUUCGCUCGGCGAGAUCGCAGAUGUCUCGACAGGCCAGGAAUGAAUGGUAACAAUGUUUGGAUAUGCUUUGCUGCUCCUAGUCCUGCUUGGUCCUACUAUCAGAAUAAUGAAACAUGUCUAAGCAUUUUUUAUACUGGCUGCUCGUGCAGUCGUAAUGUAUUCUUCAGUAAAAUAAGUUGCUUGAUGGCGUGCAAGUGGCGGCUAGGCUAAAUUUGAUAAUAUGAAUAAGUCAGCUUGUUUUAUGAA